RNAcentral lists this long non-coding RNA (13299 nucleotides) under Solanum tuberosum (potato). RNAcentral's name for it is "long non-coding RNA (STUB_LNC010752)". The record is from RNAcentral. Lineage: Eukaryota; Viridiplantae; Streptophyta; Magnoliopsida; Solanales; Solanaceae.
AUAGAAGUUUUUGAAGUUGGAGUUGUAUUGGACAUGUAUCGCACUUGCAAAAAGUUGAAGUUCAAUGAGUUGAAAAAAUAUUCACUGAUGUCAAACUUGAAAAACUCAUCUUCAAAAAGUAACCAAAAAAUCAUUCCAAUGCAUAACCAAACAAUGUUUUGAAAAUAAAUUUUGGGAAAAGGUAAAAACUUUCAAAGUGAAAAAGAUUCUAGGAUAGUUGUUGGUUUGUGACGGAGCGGUUUGCCUGUCUCUGAGGUGCUAGUGGGGUGAAGGGAAGGUUCUUAGGUGAUAGAUGGCUGCAUGAAGAGGGUGAUGGUCGAGGUACCUCUACUAGCAAUUGGAGGACAGUUUUUUCUUUGCUGUAUUGCCAUGUAUUUAGUUAUGCUAAUAAGUUCCAUGACUACUUUAGUUUCACGCAUUUAUGUGCCUUUUGUUUUAGUCUCCUUCACAAAGAAUAAUGUUAUAUGGUCUCAAUUCAUAUGCUAUGGGAAUUGGACCCACUAUUAUUUCUUCUUGUGAUAUGAUACGAGCUAAUUUAUCAUCAAAAUGUGCAGGAACACAGGGGAGUUCAUUAUGUCAAGAUACAGGGAGGUUGCUGAAAUUGUUCUAAGAUACCUGGAGCACCGAGAUCGCCUAGUUCGCCUCAGCAUAACUUCUUUACUUCCUCGAAUUACCCAUUUCCUGCGUGAUCGAUUUGUACUAACUAUUUAACGGUUUGUGACAUUUGACUUCAUUUUAGUGAUUUAAUCUGCCUUUACUAACCGGGAUAUCUAAAUGAAUUAAAUUUGCAUCUUCAAUGUUAACUACUGUAACCUCAAGUUUGUUUAUUUUACUUCUACAGAUAUGCAUUAAUCAUAUACCUCAUGUCCUUAAAAUACCUGCAGAAUGUGCCAGUGGGUUCCUUGCUCUUGGGGAGAUGGCAAGUUCUCUAGAUGGUGAACUCAUUAACUAUUUGGCGACAAUAACCUCUCACUUGGGUGAUGUGGUAUGUUAUUUAUGUCAUUGCAGAUGUACUUUUUUUUGUUGGUGAUAAACGUAAUGUUGUAUUCCUCAGUAUUAAGGCUAUGCCGGCAACCUCUAAAAGAUGUGCCCAUAAAUUAAACAAGUAAGAGUAAAAACAGAAGAAGAAAAAACUAAAUACUUACAAAAGCACCAUAAAAUCUACUCAUCAUUCAUCUACUAGUACACCUUUACACUAAAAGUAUGAUGUAUUGAAGCAGAUUUCUUUGAUUGUCUGAACAGGGUUGGUACUAUCCUAAAAAUGUCUAUUGUUUCUUUUCUUCCAAUAGAGUUCUUGAAUCCUAAGGUUCUUUGAUUUCUUCUCUUUCUUUCAAUUAUUUUGUUGAAAAUUGUGGAGUUGGAACAUUUCAGGGAAUCUUGAUGUUGUUCUUUAAUCAUUUGUUGAAUUGGUAAGGAAGUGGAGCCAGACGUGAUUUUCAUAUUGAUAGGAUUGAGGGAAAUUAAGGAUGUAAGACUGUUCAAGAUUUUAGAUAACUCCCAAGUCUUUCUUCUGUUUCAGCCUUUGAAGGUAAGCAAGGUGGAUCAGAGGACGACUAUUUUUAUCUUACACAACUUUAAUUAUUAUUGUGGGUUUCUAUAUGUUUUUUUUUAUCCAGUUUGGUAUCAUGACGCGAUAUUGAAGUGACUGUUCACUGUUUUGUAUACAAGAUUCCUCUUAUAUGCCUCUUGUUAAUUAUUCUUAUUCACUUUCCCCUCCAUCAAUCAAGAGAGAUGGAUAGGUCCUGGUUUUAAAUUUAUAUCAAUCAUGUUGGCGAACUUUUUGGUUUGAAUAAUUAUGUGAAUACCAGGUUUUGUUUGUGUUUGUUUUCAUUCACCUUUCCUGCUUUAUUUUUUAUUAAAGGGUUAGCUGUGGGUUUCUGUCUUAAUCAUAUAACAUUCUGUUUUUGCCGAAUGUUGCUGUUUGAGUUUGAAUGCUAUUGGAUGAUCUCUCUCUGCCUCUUUCCAUUCUUCCUAGUUCCCUCGUCUAAAGUUCUCUUUUAAAUACUUGAGUUGCUUGUGAACCAUGCCAGAAAUCUUAUUUUAAUUUCUUUGGUAGGAGGGGGGCUGCAUUGGUUUUGAGGCAGCUUGUAGAGGAAGAAGCUUGUGAUCUUAGUGGAGAAGGUUUUGCUCAUUUUAUGGAUCAUCUAUAUGAACGCAUUACCACAUUUCUUGAUAGUAAUGAAGUUUCUGAGAAUCUCGGUGCAUUGAGGGAUAUUGACGAGAUAAUAGAUGGCACCAUCAGCGAAAAUGCAUCAAAAGUGACACAAUUCUCCAAUUACAUUCGCGUUGCUUUUGAAACAAAGUGUGAUCCUGAAAUCUUGGUCCUUUGCUAGGUUCUUGGUCAAAAGUUCAGGGAGUUCCUCGUAUUCUCUUUUGAUAUUUGCACUGUGAGAACACAAUCUCAUUUUCUGUUGGGGGUGCCUCCCUUGUAGUCAUUUAGUUGAUUGUUUCUGCAUAUAGUGAUUGUGCCCUUGUCGGACGUACCUUUCUUUCUUUGUUAUGGAUUGGUGUGCCCUUGUCAGGAUUUGAUAUUGUGAAUGUUUAUGUUGAUAUUGUGUUGGAUUGGUCUAUUUUAGUUUUGAUACCUAGUUUGUAGCUUCUUUGUUUUUGUUUUGAUAAAAAGAUUUGGAUUGACGAUGCCCGAUGAUGGAUAGAGCGUGACGACUUUCUUAAGGGUAAAUCGUCGAUUGCUUGUGAGUAUUUGAUUGACGUUGAUUUGAGUAGUUCACGAAUAGAUGCAUGAGGUUGUCUUUUUGUAACUUUUGAUUCGUUAGCAGUUAAAAUGUUCAAUGCUACUUGUAUUUUCAAAAGGAAGUAAGAUUUUGAACCGUCUUGAUUGAUUUGCAGGCCAUGUGUGGUGAGUUAUUGCAUAAUGCCUUGUGUUUGCUUUUGUCACCUAGAACUUGUCCGGUUGGUCUUGAAAUAUUGGUCUUGAAUGAAUUUGGUUGGAGAAAUGAUCUUAGGCUUUCUUUAAUAUCUUGGAGUCCACUUGGCCUAAAAAUCUCACCUUUGUACUAAAUAUAUCCUUAGUUGUCCCCUUUCAGCCUAAUCCUUUUUAUCGGCAACCAUAUUACAAGCCUUAUCCUUUUUGAAAAGGUAACCCUCCUUUGAACCCUUCCCUCCUUGAACUUGAGGUUGUGAAAGUUGAGUCUAAAAGCCUAAGUUGUGGGCGUUAUGGAAAAUUCGUUGAAGGGAUGCUUACCAAAUGAGGGCAUGGUGUAAAAAAAAAAAUAUAAAGAAGAGAGAAAUUGAGGGAUGGAUGGAAAGUUUUAAAGAAAGAAAAAGUUUUGAAAAAGAAAGAAUGAAAAUGAAUAAAUGAGUCUUGAAUCCUCCAAAAUUUGAAAAUGGUUGCAUGUGGAGCAUCUAAAGUGGAAAUAAGAAAAGAAAAAAUGAAAAAUAGUAUGGAAUGUGCAUGGGUUUUAAAAGUGAAGAAAAGUGGAAAAAGUUGGAAAUGAUGAGUCGUUGUGUAGUGUUCAAGGAGGGUGUAGUCACUUAUACUUAAAUGAUAUCCUAACCUUCCCUGAGCCUAUAUUACAAGCUUAACAAAGUCCUUGGAGAUUUCUAACCAAAUGGAGUGGAGUCAAUAUUGAUAGAAAAUAGGUGACAUUUGUGUGCAUGAGAUGAUUUUUAGUGAGUGCGAGUGUUGCAUCUUUGUCCUCGUAUUGUUUGUAUGUGUGGUUUCGGGAUACUUCUUUCUUGUGAGGGCAUGCAAGUUGAAAUAUUAAUGAUUUUUCUUAAUUGAGUCAAGUGAGCUAAUGAGUUGAGUCAUUUCUUGAGUUUGAGUUGUUGUCACUUAAAUGAUUCUUGAUUUUUUAUAAUGUUUCAUGUGAAUGAGAGGAUUUCUUUUGUGGAAAGUUUUCAUGUGGACUAUUUGUUGGUACCAACCGAGGCCAUUACCUUUGUGCUUAAUUGAGAAAUGGAAAUUGAUUUGUGGUGUAUCUUGAAAUAAGAAUCUCUUAUGUUUUUUGAUUUUCUUGACUUGAUGAAAAACAAACUUUCUAAGUUGGGGUGUUGAUUUGUGGUAGAUUUCUACUCAUUUGAGUCUUUUUUUCGUAGUUAUUUUGGCUUUUAGUUUAUAAUUGUUGCUUUUUGAUGUGGUUUUGCACGAAAAUUAAAUGGAGAGUUCGUACAAAAUGUUGAACGUGCAGGGUUAGCACCAUUCGAUUGUUGGCUUUGUUUUAGAGGAACCAAAACAAUGGAAGAAAAUGCUUCUACCGUCUUCAAUGUUUCACGUGCCGGAGUUUGUGGAUGCUAUUUGGGUUGCUCUGUGGGAUCCAAUGUUGGCUGUUCGGGAGAAGGUUGUUUAGACAUUGCGUGCCUGCCUUCUUGUUAUUGAAAAGUGUGAGACACGACGGCGUGUUCAGUGGUAUGUCUACUUCUCUCUCCUCCCUUAUAGUUUUUCAGAAAAUGUCAUUAACAUUUUAUCAAUAUGUGAUUGAAUGUAUCAGUCACAAAUUUCUUGUUCCAAGGCAUUUACUCUUAAAUUGGUGAUUCCGACAGGUAUUAUCGAAUGUUUGAGGCUACCCAAGAUGGAUGGCGGAGAAUCGCUCCUGUUCAUAGUAUAAUUGGAUCUCUUCUCGCAGUCGGGGAGCCGCUAAGGUUUGCUAUCGAAUUGCAUUGCAUUAUUUAAUUUCAUUGUAGGAAAGUAUUUCAGAGUCUCUUGUUGUGCUGUGUUAAAUUGCUGUGAUCUGCUGAAUGUCUGAGGAACUGGAUAUUUAUCUCCCGUUUGACUAGAGAUUUUGAAGUUGAAACUUGAAUAUUUGAAGUUGUGAUUUUCGGACAUGCAUUUUACUUGGAAAAGAACUAAAGUUUUGUUAAUGGAAGUGAAUUGGUGAGGAAGUGGAACCAGACGUGAUUUUGAUUUUGAUAGGAUUGAGGGAAAUUAAGGAAGGAUGUACAUCUUGAGUUCUUUUCUUGAUUUUUUUUCUUUUUCUUGAUUUUCUUUCCUCAAUUUUAACAGGAAGUCUCGGAUGGAGUUUUCUGAAACAUUCAUCUUAAGUUCUUUUCUCUAUUAUUUUUUCGAUAAAGUGUUCUUUUCUUGAUUUUCCUUCCUCAAUUUUACAGGAAGUAAAAAGGAGAUUGAAAUAGAAAGAACGCAGAAUGCUGCACUUUACUUUUGGGCACAUCUAUUUUUAUUUGGUUUUGUGUGGAAGAAGAUCAGCAGAUAUACUCCUAAGUCUUUCUUCAGUUUCAGCCUUAGAAGGUAACCAAGGUGGAUCAGAGGACGACUAUUUUUAUCUUACACAACUUCUAUUAUUAUUGUGGGUUUCUAUAUGAUUUUUUUAAUGCAGAUUUGUAUCAUGACACGAUAUUGAAGUGACUGUUCACUGUUUUGUAUACAAGAUUCCUCUUAUAUGCCUCUUGUUAAUUAUUCUUAUUCACUUUCCCCUCCAUCAAUCAAGAGAGAUGGAUAGGUCCUGGUUUUAAAUUUAUAUCAGUCAUGUUAGCGAACUUUUUGGUUUGAAUAAUUAUGUGAAUAUCCAGGUUUUGUUUGUGUUUGUUUUCAUUCACCUUUCCUGCUUUAUUUUUUAUUGAAGGGUUAGCAGAGAUGUCUUUUGAUGUUGAUUUCUGUCUUAAUCAUAUAACAUUCUGUUUUUUCCGAAUGUUGUUGUUUGAGUUUGAAUGCUAUUGGAUGCUCUCUCUCUGCCUCUUUCCAUUCUUCCUAGUUCCCUCGUCUAAAGUUCUCUUUUAAAUACUUGAGUUGCUUGUGAACCAUGCCAGAAAUCUUAUUUUAUUUUCUUUGGUAGGAUGGGUCUGCAUUGGCUUUGAGGCGGCUUGUAGAGGUAGAAGCUCGUGAUCUUAGUGGAGAAGGUUUUGCUCGUUUUUUUAUUUAUUUUGAAACUGUUAACUUUGUGUCUAUUGAUAGAAACAAAUCUGUACAUGGGAUGUACUAGGGCCAUAUUUACCAGUAAAUCCAGAUCCUAUGAUCCCAUGUCUAUAAUGAAGCUAACACAUCAAUAAUAGAUACAUGAUCAUUAGACCGAAUCUGAUUACACCAAAAACAUAGAAUUAAAAUACAAUUCAAUUUGAUCUGUUCUAUACUAUUUUCUAUGUUCUCAAAACACCUAGCAUUUCUCUCCUUCCAAAUUGUCCACCAUAUGCUGGCUGGUAUGAUUCUCCACCUACUUCUGCUUCUUGCCAGAACCCCAACUUCUUCCCAACUUUGAAGGGCCUCUUGGCAUAGUCCAGGAGAAACCUUUAAGGUUUAGGAAUAGCCUCCAAAGCUGACAUGUGAUCUUGCAGUGAAGGAAUAAAUGUCGAACAGUUUCUGCUUGUUCUCCGCAAAAAACGCAUCUCGGACAUAAAAUUAUCCCCUUUUUCAUCAGAUUGUCUUAUGUUAGGAUAGCUUCCUUAGAUCGGAGCCAAAUAAAACAUGAUACCUUGUAGGGUAUAUUCACUUUCCAUAUAGUUUUUCAGGGCCAGUUGGCAUUCUGUUGAUUGUGACUAUUCAACCAUCUGUAUGCUGCCUUCCCUGAAGGUUAAGCUCAUCUUCCCCUUCUUGUGUUCCUUUAAACUGGCCAAUAGUGUUAAGGAAAUCUGCAACUCUUGUGAUUUCCCAGUCAUUUACUUGUCUUCUGAAACUGAUUUCCCACCCAUUAGGUGUCCACAUUCCUGCAAUUGUUCUUUGCUGAUUUAACAUUAAGUUGUGGAUAUCUGGGUAGAUAUUCUUCAGAAUCCCCAUCUCAUGCCAGUUAUCUCCCCAGAAACUUGUCUUUUCCCCAUUUCUAACCUUAACCUUGGUUUUGAUCUUGAAAUCAUCCCACAAGGCCCUUAUAGAUCUCCACAAAUUCACUCCAUAUGGGGAAAAUACUUCCUUUGUCAUCCACCUAUUUUCUACUUCAUACUUGGCCUUGAUGACUUUUCUCCAUAACAGAUGUUUGUCGUUAGCAUAUUUCCACAACCAUUUCAUUCUGAGGUCCUUGCUAUGAUUCUGCAGAUUUUUAAUACCCAAAACCCCCAUACCUUUUUUCUAUUAUCAGAUCAUUCCACUUUACCAGAUUGUAACCUCUCCUGUCCUUGUUUCCCCGCCAUAGGAACUUCCUUCUGAUUCUAUCCAAUCUGUCAGUGACCCCUACUGGAAUGGGAAAUAAAGACAUCAUGUAAGUAGGCAUAGCAUCUAGGACUGAGUUAAUUAGAGUAAACUCUUCCUCCAAGAGACAAGUAUUGCCCCUUCCAUCUAGCCAGUUUCUUCUCACACUUUUCUAUUACACUGCUCCAGAUCUCUUUAGACAUUGAUUUAGCACCCAAAGGCAUCCCAAGGUAUGUAGUUGGGAGAGCCCCAACUUGUCCACCUAGGAUUAUGUUUAGUGCCUCCAUGUUAUGUACUUCAUUAAUGGGAUAAAGAAAACUCUUUCUCCAAUUAAUAUGCAACCCAAAGAUUCCUUCAAACAGGACCAAUAUUACUCUCAGAUAUUUGAGUUGUUCUUCUGCCCACAAAAGAUGAGUGUGUCAUCUGCAUAUUACAAAUGAGUAAUUAUCUGUGUAAAGUCCGUGAUAAAAAUCAAUUACCUUUUUUUAUUACAAUUUUGUUUGUAUCUUGUGUGAUCUCACCUUAUACCUCCAAUUGAUCAAUGUUAUUGUACCUUUUGUGGGAAUUUGCAAUUAUGUGGAAAUACUAGGUGUUUCUGUCCCCCUCUUUCAACCAUAGGGUUCUUGAUCUUUGUCGCCAAGCAAUUUCUUCUUUUUUUGAUUAGAUUCUCAUAUUCCAGUAGCACCUCACAUUUCCUUGUGGAUUCUUCUUUUGAUAAAGUCCUGGUUGUAGUUUAUCAUGGUUGUAACCACAGAAUCAAAUCUGCCAACUUCUCUAACAAUUUCUCUCUGUAAACCUAAAUUCCUUGAACUUCUCUGCUCCAUUCCUUAAGUUUAUUCUUAAGGGCUUUCAUUUUACAAGCCAAUACAUAGUCCGGUUUCCCCCCAAAAUUUAAUUUGUUCCACCAGUCUUUGACUCAAUCUGUGAACCCCUCAGUAUCUAGCCACCAAUUUUCAAACUUGAAAUACCUUUUAUUUUUGUUCCAGGUCCCACCUUGUAGAGCUAAUGGUACAUAAUCUAAAAUAAUCCUUUAAAGUGGGAUUACUUUCAAGUCGUUGAAGCUUUCAUCCCAUUCUUUUGAAAAUAGGAUUCUAUCUAUUCUGGAAGCUACUUCAUUGUUGUCCCCUUUGUACUAGGUGAAUGUUGCAUUUUCCAUUUGAAGAUCAAUUAGCCCCAUAUCUUCAAUGAAAUCUGAAAAUUCCCUCAUCCCUAUAGUUCUUCUAACACAGCUCCUUUUUUCUGCCACAAACCUACUAACAUUAUAAUCACCACAAACAACCCAAGGCCCUUGGAACAGACCUCUGACAUCACCAAUCUCUUCCCAUACUGAUCGUCUUUCAAUGUAGCAAUUUGGUGCGUACACCCCAGUAAUAUGACGAAAAGCUUUGGAGUUGAGCUUCAAACUUGCAAGUUAGGGUAUAUGAACCAAUCUCGAGAAUUUCUCCCUUCCAUAUUCUGAUAUCUCACAUCAUCAAUAUACCCCCUCUUGUUCCAAUGGCCUCCAAGUACUCAUAUUUGAUCCAUAUAUUUCCCUAAAUUUGGUUUACUAACUCUGUAAUGUCCCCCUACAACUUUGUUUCUUGGAAACAAUAAAUGUCUGCUUUCCAAUCAAACACCAUACUUUUAAGUUUUAGCAAGUCUCCUUUUAUCUCUACAAUUCAAUCCUCUCACAUUCCAUGAAAUUAGUUUGAAUCGCAUCAAGAACUAUUGUGGUUGUCUCUCCCCUUGGCCCUGUUUCCGCCGCUUUUGAAUUUUACAUCAAAGACCACCAAAUUUUUGAGUUCCUGGGCACUUUUGAUUCUGGUCUUCCUGAAUAUAUGUCUCCAUUCUUGUUACUUUUCUGCUACUAUCUACCUGCAACAAUAAGUAAUUCUAGAGCUUCCUCUUCGUGACCCUGAAAGUUUGCACCCAAGAUUUUCCCUAACCAUGUUUUGUUUUACCCAUAGUGAAGUCUACUUCUCUUUGUCUUGUAUCAUUAGCUGAGUUUGAGUGCAAAGAGGCUCGACAUCCUCCACCUCCCAAUUUUCUAUUGCUUCUACAAAAUUUUUGGAUUAUUAAAUCUAUAGUCCCUUGUGUAAUUUUGUUACCCUUUCUCGCUGAAUUGUCAAGAAUGUUCUGACCCCUUUGAUAGCUGCGAAGUUUCCCCCUUAGUUUCCAUUGUAGUCCCAUUACUUCAUCCUCUGUUCUCAUCUCUGCUAUCUGCGUAUCCACUGGAGCAGUUUGUUCUUGUUAGGUGCUAAGAAAGACUUCAUAGAAGUCAUCUUUUAUUGAGGAUAUGGACCCAAAUUCAUUUAAAUUGUUGUAAAUAAAGUGGGUUGCUGGGUUUGGCCCAAUUAACUUUUUAUUUGUUGGGUCCAGAGUGUAUUGUUCCUUGGUUCUUUUCUCAUUAAAACCCUGCACAUGUUGUGCACAUGACUGUGACUCUUUUUUACCUCCAACUGUCAACUCUGAACAACCCACGUGCUCUCUGUCAACCAAAUCCCUAAAAGCAUGGGAUAUUGGUACUUUGUCACAGAGCAAACUCUGCUUUGUCCGCUGGGUAAUAGGAUUUGCUGGGUAAUGCCAUCCAUCAUCUUCUCCGGCGCUACCUCCGACGGAUUCCGACAAAAUUUCAAUCGGGGUUUUGACUCCCACCAGAUCGGGAGGGAUGUAAAACUUGAGGCCAUUUUGUGAAAUUGCUACUUCUUUCGGAAUACUCUUCCCUUCAUUCGCGACCAGAAUUCUGGCCCACUUUAUGUGGUUCCUGAGCUUUGUUUCUUCCUCCAUAGCCAACCAUCCCCAUACACUUCUCCAAUUUCCUAGAUAACUUUGUGCGACCACAACUGUAGUGGUAUUCCAACAUCUCUAAUCCAGGUUUCCUUUGGACUUCUAGAGAUUGAUGUACACCCCUCUGUCGAGCUCCACCACUUGAGAUUGAGUUUGUUCUUCUGCCAGUACCAUUGAUGUUGUACAAUCUGGUCCGCCAUGAAUCUAUUGGGGAAUUCGAACAAAAAUCUUCUAUUAUUCAUCUCGUAGAUAUUUACCCCAAAGAUGAUUUUCCAGGUGGUUGAGGACCAUCUCCUUAUCUCACUCAAUGUAGGUCCCUCAUUGCUUUCAUCUUCCGAGUCCCAAACCAGACAUUUGUUUAGCAUCCCUGUCUCUUCAGCUCCUGGUUUAACAGAAAUUUCUAUUACUCCCUCUAACCUAUGUUUCUCCCGUUUUCUUUGGAUACCAUUUAUUGUCUUCAACUGCCUUAGCAUAAGGGUAGUUGAAUUCAGUUAACCUGGGUGGGCCUGCCACUUCCUGUUUCUUUGGGCAUUUAAGAAACUCUUCAAUUUUAUGAGCAAUUUCACACCAACCAACAUUCAAUGUUGUCUCUGGAAUAAUCAAUACUGAUCUCCCCCCCUUAUUUAAAGAAAGAAUGCUCAUGUAUCUUCCGUGUUCAUUUCAUUUCCUGGUAUUAAAAUGCUCUCCCCCUUUUCCGACAUUUUUCAUCUCCGGAUUAAGUUCUUUUGGUCCUUCGAAGCUUCCUUCAAGGUGAAGCAAAUCCAUUCCAUAGUGUUGCUGCUCAUUUCUGUCCUUCUCAUCAAUGUGCGGCUUCUCUCAACCCAUUCAUACCAGACUGUUGUGUUCGUUGUCCAUCUCGUGAUGUCAAAAGAUUUGAAUCCAGCAUUGAAGUAAAUCCUAGUCAUAUUCUCCCCCAUGAUCACUGUAGUAGUGAGGUAGGAGAACAAAGAAAACUAACCCUGAAUGGAGGAAUUGGAGGGGAAAGAAAGAAAGAAAGGUUGGUUAGAAAUAUUCCGGCAAGAUACCAAAAUUUCGAAUAGUUGGAAAGAAGAAGAGGGAAGAUUCUGAUUGAAGAGGUCCACCGGAAUAGGUGUCCUGAGGUCCAUAAGGGACCUUAGGUGUUUUCCUCAAAACUUUUGUCUAGGAGCGUUCUCUAAUUUUUUUGAGCCUUUUAUGUCUUUUUUUACUCGUUUUAUGGAUCAUAUAUAUGAACGCAUUACCAUAUUUCUUGAUAGUCAUGAAGUUUCUGAAAAUCUGGGAGCAUAGAGGGCUAUUGACGAUCUAAUAGAUGUCACCAUCAGUGAAAAUGCAUCAAAAGUGGCACAAUUCUCCAACAUUUGCGUUGCUUUUGAAACAAAGUGUGAUCCUGAAAUCUUGGUCCUUGCUAGUAAAGUUCUUGGUCAAAAGUUUAGGGAGUCCCUCGUGUUCUCCUUUGAUAUUUGCACUGUGAGAACACAAUCUCAUUUUCAGUUGGGGGGUGCCUCCCUUCUAGUCAUUUUGUUGAUUGUUUCUGCUUAUAGUGAUUGUGCCCUUGUCGGAAGUACGUUUCUUUCUUUAUUAUGGAUUGGUGUGCCCUUGUCAGGAUUUGAUAUUGGGAAUGUUUAUGUUGAUAUUGUGUUGGAUUGGUCUAUUUUAGUUGUUGAUUUGUAGUUUGUAGCUUCUUUGUUUUUAUUUUGAUAAAAAGAUUUGGAUUGACAAUGCCCGAUGAUGGAUAGAGCAUGACGACUUUCUAAACGGUAAAUCGUCGAUUGCUUGUGAGUGUUUUGAUUGGCGUUGAUUGUGGCGAUGUCUGAGUAGUUGUUCCCGAAUAGAUGCAUGAGGUUGCCUCAAUAGUUAUGAGUGAUUUUGUGACAACUGUUAUAACUCUUUUUGUAACUUUUGAUUCAUUAGCGGUUAAAAUGUUCAAUGCUACUUGUAUUUUCAAAAGGAAGUAAGAUUUUGAACCGUCUUAAUUGAUUUGCAGGCCAUGUGUGGUGAGUUGUUGCAUAAUGCCUUGUGUUUGCUUUUGUCACCUAGAACUUGCCCAGUUGGUCUUGAAUGAGUUUUGUUGGAGAAAUGAUGUGAGGCUUUCUUUAAUAUCUUGAAGUCCAAUAAAGUUACCAGUUUCAAAAAAAAUAUCUUGAAGUCCACUUGGCCUAAAAAUCUCACCUUUGUACUAAAUAUAUCCUUAGUUGUCCCCUUUGAGCCUAAUCCUUUUUAUUGGCAACCACAAGCCUUAUCCUUUUUGAAAAGGUAACCCUCUUUCGAACCCUUCCCUUCUUGAACUUGAGGUUGUGAAAGUUGAGGCUAAAAGCCUAAGUUGUGGGUGUUAUGGACAAUUCAUUGAAGGGAUGCUUACCACGUGAGGGCAUGUUGUAAAAAAACGAAAAUAUAAAGAAGAGAGAAAUUGAGGGAUGGGUGGAAAGUCUUAAAGAAAGAAAAAGUAAGAACGAAAAUGAAUAAAUGAGUCUUGAAUCCUCCAAAAGAUGAAAUUGGCUGCAUGUGAAGCAUCUAGAGUCGAAAUAAGAAAAGAAAAAAUGAAAAAUAGUGUGGAAUGUGCAUGGGUUUGAAAAGUGGAGAAAGUUGGAAAUGAUGAGUCGUUGUGUAGUGUUUAAGGAGGGUGUAGUCACUUAUAGAUUGCAUCUAGAAUGCAUUUGUGAUCUAUAGGUUGAUUAUGUUCUGUGGGGCUACCUGGGGGUUUCAGUCAUUUAUAGAAACCUAUUUUUAGUAUAGUGAGCCGUGUGUAUCAUGCCUUCAGAACAGGUGCGAGUCAGUUUUUUCGUUUCAGUAUUAUGUAAGGCCAUAAAGUUAUCCACCAUGACUAGUUUCAAAAUUCUACUUCUCAGAAAUAAAAAGAAGGAAUAAGUUUAAAGAAUUUAUAGAACUUCAACGUAACUGAAUUGUCUUUUCUCUUUAGAGUUUCUGGGACUUCUUAGCUAUUGUUACUCUUAAUCUUGAAAGAUCCCGAAAUACAGUAUUUUAGCAUGAGAUAUUGGAUGUAGGUCCUGAAUGGUUAAGUAGGCUAUUGGACAUAGAUUUGAUUGAAACUUUAAAAAGAAGUUUUGAAGUUGGAGUUGUAUUGGACAUGUAUCGCACUUGCAAAAAGUUGAAGUUCAAUGAGUUGAAAGAAAUAUUCACUGAUGUCAAACUUGAAAAUCCCAUCUUCAAAAAGUUAACCAAAAAAUCAUUCCAAUGCAUAACCAAACAAUGUUUUGAAAAUAACUUUUGGUGAAAAGAUAAAAAAAUUCUCAGUCAAAAAGAUUCUAGGAUAGUUGUUGGUUUGUGACGGAGCGGUUUGCCUGUCUUUGAGGUGCUAGUGGGGUGAAGGGAAGAUUCUUAGGUGAUGGAUGGCUGCAUGAAGAGAGUGGUGGUCGAGGUACCUCUGCUAGCUAUUGGAGGACAGUUUUUUCUUUGCUGUAUUGCCAUGUAUUUAGUUAUGCUAAUAUGUUCCAUAACUACUUUAGUUUCACGCAUUUAUGUGCCUUUUGUUUUAGUCUCCUUCACAAAGAAUAAUGUAAUAUGCU